This 488-nucleotide ribosomal RNA is filed under the name Escherichia coli. RNAcentral describes it as "partial 23S ribosomal RNA". It matches the Rfam family "Bacterial large subunit ribosomal RNA", at positions 2442 to 2925 of the family's 2925-position model. Lineage: Bacteria; Pseudomonadati; Pseudomonadota; Gammaproteobacteria; Enterobacterales; Enterobacteriaceae. The record is from RNAcentral. RNAcentral also lists the same sequence under 2 other names.
CCAUCGCUCAACGGAUAAAAGGUACUCCGGGGAUAACAGGCUGAUACCGCCCAAGAGUUCAUAUCGACGGCGGUGUUUGGCACCUCGAUGUCGGCUCAUCACAUCCUGGGGCUGAAGUAGGUCCCAAGGGUAUGGCUGUUCGCCAUUUAAAGUGGUACGCGAGCUGGGUUUAGAACGUCGUGAGACAGUUCGGUCCCUAUCUGCCGUGGGCGCUGGAGAACUGAGGGGGGCUGCUCCUAGUACGAGAGGACCGGAGUGGACGCAUCACUGGUGUUCGGGUUGUCAUGCCAAUGGCACUGCCCGGUAGCUAAAUGCGGAAGAGAUAAGUGCUGAAAGCAUCUAAGCACGAAACUUGCCCCGAGAUGAGUUCUCCCUGACCCUUUAAGGUCCUGAAGGAACGUUGAAGACGACGACGUUGAUAGGCCGGGUGUGUAAGCGCAGCGAUGCGUUGAGCUAACCGGUACUAAUGAACCGUGAGGCUUAACCUU